This is a long non-coding RNA of Rattus norvegicus (Norway rat), 4255 nucleotides long. RefSeq lists it as uncharacterized. The record is from RefSeq and is a predicted model, not a curated record. NCBI's taxonomy places the organism in Eukaryota, Metazoa, Chordata, Mammalia, Rodentia, Muridae.
GCGAGCCUCUCUCCCUCUCAACCGCAAGCUUUAGAUUCAUAUAUCUGUAUCAGUCGUUCUCAACCCUCCUAAUGCUGUGACCCUUUUAUAUAGCUCCUCAUGUUGUGGUGACCCCCAACCACAAAAUUGUCUUUGCUGCUACUUAAUAACUGUAACUUUGCUGUUAUGAAUCAUAAUGUAAAUAUCUGUGUUUUCCCAUGAUUCUAGUCAACCCCUGAAAAGGGAUUAUUUGUGAAUCAGGGGAGAAUUACUGAACUACAUGAUAUAUUCACAUCUUAUAUGUAACAGAGUAAAAUAAGAUUUUUUAAACACCUAUUCAAGCCUAUAUCUCCCUCAGCCUUCCCAUCUCAAAGAUAUGGGCACCACCCACUCACUCAGGAACUCCAACCUCUAGGAGUCAACAGUGUGUGUUCAUGCAUACAUGCAUGCAGCAUGUGUACUUGUAUGUAUUCCUGUGUGUACAAGUACACACGUAUAUGUGUGCCUGUAAAUAUAAAAUCCAGGAGCCAGCCCAACCUCACAUGUUGUUUCUCAAAUAUCCACUUAUUUUUGAAACUGUCUCUUCCUGGGAAGUGGGGCUUGCAGCUUAGGCAGGAUGACCCGCAGCAGGCCCCAGAUUCUCCUGUCUCCACCUCCCCAGUGACAGCUAGGAUUACAAGUGCACGUUACCACACCUGGGUUUUUAGGAGAUCUAACGUGAGUCCUCGUGCUUGCAUGACAAGCGCUUUAUGGACUGUGCAUCUCCCCAGUCCCCUAGGAGUCAUCUUUGUUCUUUCUCUCGGGCAGCAUCCAAAGCACAGCCUGAAUCCGACUACCUUUCUCCAUCUCUGUGCUUCACCCUCCACUAACAGUCUGCUCUGGACCACAGCCACAGCCUCCUGCUGUCCACCAAACCCCAUUCUCCCUAACGGAAGAAUACCCAAAGCAUACCAAGUCACUUUAAACCGUCUGCAUCCUCCCUGGUCUCCGAACAGAGUUCAGGAGCUCUUUACCCUGGUCCAAUUUCAGCAUUUACCUCCCUUCCUGUGACUCCCGUUAAUGCCAUUCUCUCCCUAGAUCACCAUCUUCAAGCCACUCAUUGAACUGGAAGGGGUUUGUACCUUAAACAUUUUUUUCUGAAAUGUCUUGCCCCUACUGGCACCACAGCAGGGGUCCUUCUUGUCAUUCAAAUUCCAAAUGUCACCUGCUCAGAAAAAAGUCCUCAGGACCUACCAAUCCAACCAGCCAUCCAAUCACUCCAAGUCACAUCCCCUCGUGUUAAUUUUCCGCACAGCAGCCACCGUUACCUGCUAUUAUUAUUUGCUCACUCUUUGUUCCCUUUCCUCCCGCGGAUUACAUAUCGACGAAGAAGAACAGUGAGCACCUCCCUUCCACACACCUCAUCCAUCAGCAGUCACUAUUCAAGAGUCCCAAGUGAUAAAGGAGGCUCGGGACUUUCUCCACACCUUCUGAUCCAGAUCUAAACAUUGUCUCCAAGUUGGUGAAGAAAUUAAUUCUGAAUCACGGUCCCCCACAGUACACCGAGUGCCAGUCAAACCAUCGGCCGCCAGACCUUUGGCUAGUUCAUUCAUUCCAUAAACAAACAUUUACAGAGCUCCUACUCUAUGCCAGGCACUGACUGGGUCAAACGAUCAAAGGCAAGUUCUGACUCCCAGGACCCACAGAGGGGAGGAACGCUGCAACACAGGCACCUUCCCGGAGUGGGAAAAGGGAAGAUUGUACACGUGUCCCCUUACAGCUUCGAGAUCAGAUCCACGCAGCCCAACAGACCCAGAAUAACUGUUGGGACAGCGCCCAGAGAUUCAGGCGGCUAAGCUCCCGUUCUACUAGCCCAGGCAGAGCCGACCGUCCGCGUUCCACUGCGUUCGGCGCCCGCCGAAGACUCGCGGGUAGAGUUCCAAGAAUAUCAUUGGCUGACCGGGAGCCCCACCCCCAUCCCAUCCCUGAGAAGCAAGGAUGCAGCGGCCCGGGUCGCGCUCCAACUCUCCACCGCCAGCCCAGCCAGCGCGGCUACACUAGCGUCGGGGCCCCCUCCCCCCUCCCCCACGCCCAAGCCCUCAGGCCACACUCCUGACCCACCGGAGCCUUUCUCCCUGACACCGGCCACUGUGCCCAGCGCAUGUCCCCGGGGUAGGCGUGUCCCGGGAGCCGUGGAGUUUGCUGGCUCGGCCGCCGGCGGGCGGGACCUGGUCAGGCCCCCUGCGGCGCUGCGAACCCCGGUACGCAGCGGUCCCCCGAGCCCGCCACCUUCAGACAUACAAACCCCAAGCGCCGAGCCCGCCAAGGUUGCGGGAAAGCAAGCGAGGUGCGGCGGUGGUGCGGGCUCACUUACUCUAUGAAGAAACUGGCGCCCUCCUCCGUGAAGCCCUCCUCCCAGCCGCGCGGCAAGUCUGCGGGAAGGCGAGAAAAGUUGGUCAAACUUGCACAGCCGUGGCGCCCUCCCGCACCCUCUACCGACCGGGCGCUUACCUGAGCGGAUCAUGUGACCGGAGUUGACCGGUUCUCCCGUACGCGGGUGCAGCCAGGUCGUGCAGCGGAGCUGGUCACUACGGGAGAGGUGCACCUGUUAGCGCCGCCGCCCCACACGCCCGCCCGCGGACCCAGCCCCAGCACACGACCCCGCCCGGGUGCCGCCGCCUCUCACGCACUUGAUGAAGAAGACGCGGCCGUCCCGACAGACGCCGUAGGACCAGUGCUCAGUUGGACAAGAGAAGGAGCCUUGAUCUGCCCCCAAAAUACCAGGACCUGGGCACCCGAACAAUUCUACCUCAUCCUUUCAGCAACAUCUCAAUGGAAGAAUGGGAAACACUCCUCACUCUGCAAGUGGGUGGAGCCGGAGCCGGAGCCGGAAGCUAGGUGCUGGGCAAGGGUCAGGCCAGCCUUGCAGAGACACAGCUGCAGGUCUGAGGAGGCUCACUUGAGGGUGCAGCUGUCUGCACUGGGCACUAGAAUUAGAGAUCAGGAGUAGGAUGGACCCUGAAGGGGGCGCAGUGGAGCUCUGUCAGUGUUUCUUGACCUGUGGGUCUCCACCCCUCGGAGUAGCAUCUCAGAUUACGUUUCAUAACAAUAGCAGUGAAAUAAUUUUGUCGUUGAGGGUCACCACAACAUGACCGCUGCUCCAGAGGAACCUAUUAGGGGUGCAGGUGAACCUGUGGGAGGGGUGUGGAGUGCUAGGAAGACCAUGAAGCGAUCCUUCCUCUGAAGCAGUCAUUAGGGAGAGAGGUGCUGUGACUGGGAAUGUGGAGCCUUCAGCCUCUGAUCCAGUUCUUGACCAAAUGAACACAGGGAGAUAGCUUCUCUCUUUUUGUUGACAUUUAAAAAAAAUUGACAUUGUUUUAUUUUCCCUGUCAGGCAUGGGCUGUGUGUGUGGUGUGGUGGGCUCAGUACAGGGAUGGAUGGUGGAGGGGGUGGAGGAGAUGAUGACUUGGUUGGGAAGUCUGGAGGAAGGACUCAUGGCACACUAUAGCUAAGCUACCAGUAAGGUUGAGAAACUCUUGGAAAUCUAGCUGUCCAUCGCUGUUGAGGUCCUGCGUCUUCAUCAUGCAUUCAAGGACACCAGGGUCCUUCUGUUUCUUCCUGAAGGCGGCCAGCUCUGUGUUCAUGAAAGAAAGGAACUCAGUUUUGGAGAAUUGACAGCUAUUCCCAUCCUUCCCACUGUACUUCUGGAAAACAGCAAUCAGGGACUCCAUGCAUCUCUCAUGGAGGCUGGGACAGGAGUGGCCAGCAUCUCUUAUUAAACACUCAUUUGAAAACAAUAUAUUAAAUGGACAAGAAUAUGAAAACACAGUUAAUAGAAAUGAAACACAAGUGGCUUUUAAGUAAAUGGGAAGAUAAUUGACCAUUGCAUAACAUCAAGUAUACAAAUGAAAAUUACAGUGGGAUUCUAUUUUGUAGAUGUCAGAUUAGAAGAGAAAACCAUUCUUGUUCAUUGUUGCUGGGACUAAAAAAUGAUUCUGCCUUCUUGUGAUGGUUUGUAUAUGCUUGACCCAGGCAGUGACACUAUUAGGAGGUGUGGCCCUCUUGGAGUGGGUGUGGCCUUGUUGGAGUGGGUGUGUCAUUGUAGGUGUGGGCUUUAAGAUGCUGAUCCUAGCUGCCUGGAAGCCAGUCUUCUAGCAUCCUUCAUAUAAAGAUAUAGAACUCUCAGCUCCUCCUGAACCUUGCCUGCCUGGACACUGCCAUGUUACCACCAUGAUGAUAAUGAACUGAACAUCUGCACCUGUAAGCCAGCCCCAAAUAAAUGUUGUCCUUUAUAAGA